RNAcentral lists this ribosomal RNA (343 nucleotides) under Nanger granti (Grant's gazelle). RNAcentral describes it as "partial 16S ribosomal RNA". It matches the Rfam family "Bacterial large subunit ribosomal RNA", at positions 1966 to 2484 of the family's 2925-position model. Lineage: Eukaryota; Metazoa; Chordata; Mammalia; Artiodactyla; Bovidae. The record is from RNAcentral.
CAUUUGUUCUUUAAAUAAGGACUUGUAUGAAUGGCCACACGAGGGUUUUACUGUCUCUUGCUUCCAAUCAGUGAAAUUGACCUUCCCGUGAAGAGGCGGGAAUAAAAUAAUAAGACGAGAAGACCCUAUGGAGCUUUAACUAAUUAGUUCAAAAAUAAAAAAAACUUAACCACCAAGGGACAAUACUAGUUUUUAUGAACUAACAGUUUCGGUUGGGGUGACCUCGGAGAACAGAUAAUCCUCCGAGCGAUUUUAAAAACUAGACACACAAGUCAAAUUGAACCAUCGCUUAUUGAUCCAAAAUUUGAUCAACGGAACAAGUUACCCUAGGGAUAACAGCGCA